Oreochromis niloticus (Nile tilapia) is the source of this 797-nucleotide long non-coding RNA. RefSeq lists it as uncharacterized. NCBI's taxonomy places the organism in Eukaryota, Metazoa, Chordata, Actinopteri, Cichliformes, Cichlidae. The transcript is spliced from 2 exons. The record is from RefSeq and is a predicted model, not a curated record.
GAAGUGUAGUCGGAUGGUAACAAAGAGAGGGAAGGUAGUCAGAACUGAGGGGACUGAACUACCAGAAGGCAACAUUGCAGAUGUAACAUAUGUGUUAAAUACUUGUGAAUUUCACUCAAAACACCUUUUUUUUGGAUUAAAUAUGUCAUUUUUGCAUCUCAGUCUCCUACCUGUGUGAUCUGAGUCUGUGUGCGUUCGUGUGUGUGUGCGCUGCGUAGUGACGUAGGCGCGUGCAUGUGUGCCCCGGUCACAGCUCCUUUCAGCAUGGCCGGAGGUAAGUCACUGCCACGUUGCUCUCUGCUAAUUAAAGUUUGUUCAGAGCCCAAGCUGCAAUGUGAAUACAGCCGAACCGCAGCAUUUUUGUUUCUCAUUAAGAGAUUAAUUCGGGAUAAGUUUUGUGGAGGGCGGAGUUCGCUAAUAUAUGUUUUUAAUGAGUUUUAGCCGAGAACGCAGCUGAAAUGCUAGCAUGCUAAGUUAGCCUGAUCGCUAGCGGCUAGUGAGCGUACUCGCGGCAGUCGUUUUUUUAACAGCGUGCACUCUUUUUUCCUUCGUCAGGAGAGGUGCACUGGCAGACGCAUGACACACACAGAUCAGACUAUUUCUGUGUUGCAGGGCUUAAGUUAAUGUUUUAAAACGAUUUGUUGUAUUUGAUUUAUUAUAUUAUUGUAGUGUAAAUGAAGCUGCAGACACAGCUCCUUUCAGCAUGGCCGGAGGAGAGGUGCACUGGCAGACGCAUGACACACACAGAUCAGACUAUUUCUGUGUUGCAGAUAUACAGUAAAGAGCCAAAGACCCAG